Molecule: long non-coding RNA, 247 nt
Filed under: Lonchura striata (white-rumped munia)
Lineage: Eukaryota; Metazoa; Chordata; Aves; Passeriformes; Estrildidae
Description: domestica (Bengalese finch) lncRNA (ENSLSDG00000002843.1)
Source: RNAcentral
GUUGCCUUUGCUCCUCGUCAGGCACUGAUUAAUACUGUGCACUGGGUUCUUUUCAGUCUGACUAAGCUUUCCACAGGUGGUAAGAGAGACAUCAUUUCCAAAAGAACAUCACUCCUUUCUUCUUUCAAGAAAAUAAGGUACUUGGGAUUCCUGGGUUCCUCUUCUGACUUAGACAUUGAUUCACUGUCUGGCCUUAGGCUUACCUUUUCACUCCUGGAAGUUCUCCCCUCUUGCCAAAGGCAGUGAA